Molecule: small nuclear RNA, 20 nt
Filed under: Arabidopsis thaliana (thale cress)
Lineage: Eukaryota; Viridiplantae; Streptophyta; Magnoliopsida; Brassicales; Brassicaceae
Description: snRNA_18949
Source: RNAcentral
GCCCUCGACCUAUUCUCAAA